CAGCCGCCGCGGGAAUACGGAGGGUGCAAGCGUUAAUCGGAAUUACUGGGCGUAAAGCGCACGCAGGCGGUCUGACAAGUCAGAUGUGAAAUCCCCGGGCUUAACCUGGGAACUGCAUUUGAAACUGUCAGGCUGGAGUCUUGUAGAGGGGGGUAGAAUUCCAGGUGUAGCGGUGAAAUGCGUAGAGAUCUGGAGGAAUACCGGUGGCGAAGGCGGCCCCCUGGACAAAGACUGACGCUCAGGUGCGAAAGCGUGGGGAGCAAACAGGAUUAGAGACCCCCGUAGUUCCUGUCUCUUAUAC
Molecule: ribosomal RNA, 301 nt
Filed under: uncultured bacterium
Lineage: Bacteria
Description: partial 16S ribosomal RNA
Rfam family: Bacterial small subunit ribosomal RNA
Source: RNAcentral